This is a long non-coding RNA of Cyprinus carpio carpio, 1323 nucleotides long. NCBI's taxonomy places the organism in Eukaryota, Metazoa, Chordata, Actinopteri, Cypriniformes, Cyprinidae. The record is from Ensembl.
AUGACUCUAGACAUUUCAUGUGUUCUCUCAAUGACAUAUCUGCAUUUCCUUUUUGAAAAUCAUCUGCAAAUUCUGAAGAAACUAGUGAGAAAUGCCAAAAAUCCCAUCAGUCAAGUCGCAAAGAGACUUUGUGAACAAGAGAGGGCAGAAAGCCACAGAAACAAGGUGUCAAACAAAAGUUGGCAUUUUGUUUCGGAAAAGAAGAGAAAUGGAUGCUUCCUCUUGCACAAUGAAGACUUUGCCUUUGUUAAAGAGAAAAACGUGAUGAUGGCAAUUUGUUAUGUGAUGUCAUUUCCCAAAAAAACAUGGAAAGCUUUUUUACUGUGCCUUGUGACUCCAAGCUUAUUAACGUUGUAUAUAUUAGAAACAUGGAGAGAGUCCAGAAACGUCGCAGGCUUCUUGAUGUUGAUGAAAUUCACCGUAAAGUGGCUUGUCUACCCUUCAAAACAGGAUAUGUACUUAUGCCUUUAUUGCACAGCAUGGAGCGAAAAGACUAAAAAAGGGAUGGCUUGGGUAAGGGCAGUGUGGCAAGAGAAGACAAGGCAAGAGGAAGGGACGGUGCCGGACAGCUGGGUGGACCCAAAGAACAUGUUAUUGUACUGGCCAAAUGUUGCAAAUGCAACAAGAUAUUUGAAGGAACGACGGCCACCAUCUGAUAGUUGGAGAAAGUUUCCACUUGUGAAAGAGAAGAUGAGAUCUGAUUACUUUAAAGAGUGUGACAACUGUGAACUCACAAGUAGUACAGAAGCUGAAGAAGGUUCACUGGAAGCAAAAAGAAGAAAAAUAUCGAAGAAAUUUGAAGACUGCUUGACAGAUCAUAGUUGUGACACUGAUCCACAAUUCGAAGAAGAAGAUAACCUUGGAAAUCGUCAGCUUCCUAACAGUAAUGAAGAGCUAGAACUUCCUGUUGCUCCAAGGAAGGUGUGCAAGCUCUCCAAUGCAAGCUCUACAUCUUCUGUUUCAUCCAGGGGAUCAAGCUCUGGCUCUCCAUUGCCACUUCAAAAAAAGCAGACUUCAACAGCACAGGCCCCUGUGCAAACUAAGGAGGCCACAUCAAAAAACCAGACCAGACAACAUUCUGAUGGAGAACCGUCUUCACAAGAAAUCAGACAAUCUGGGUCACCUGUUGAUCGACAGUCCAGCAGCUCCAAACAAGAUGAAAAACGCUCCCCAUACCCAAUGCAAGAAGCAAAAUUCCAGAGAAAAGUAAUGGAGAUGCUUGUUGAAAUCCGUGAAGACAUCCGCACAUUAAAAGAAAAAGUGUGGGGGGAUGCAGGAAAUGCAUACUGUCUCAAAGAUUCCUGCCCAGUCCUCAACUGUUGA